CCUAAUACGCAUCUUCCCCUGAACAGAAAACAACUUCUUCUUUCUUCUUCGUUCUUUUGUUCUUCUUCGGUUCCUCCCCGAGCAGCAAAACCUUGGGCUUCCUCCUCGUGCAACAACACGCAAACACCUGCAAUCUUUGUUAAACUUAAACGACAACACGUUAAUCUUGUUUUUCUCCUCAGUCCCAGGAAUGGAUAUGCCCAUCUUACAUACAUGAAUCUUCAAAUUACUUGUGUUUAUAGUUACACAUACUGCAUACGUUACUCCUUCAUGGAUAUUACCUUGAGUUGAUACUGUCUCCCUGUUUUGGUUAUCUAGAAUAUGACUCUGGAGACAAUCCAUAUAAGAGACUAUGAAACAUACUGUUGAUGGGGGAACUGAAUGUUUCAAAGGUCAUGCAAGGGUCAUUAUUCUGGGUGUGACACAAUGCUUUGAGUGUGCCAUUUGGUUGUUUCCUUCUCAAGUUAAAUUCUCUUUAUGUACAUAAAGCAGAAAUCUCUGGAACAGCUGCUCACUGUAUUGAUUAAGUGGGAUGAGGUACACAGUGGGAAGGUGUUCGAUGCAGAAAUAGUGGUGGUGGUGGUGCAAGUGGUACAUAAUCUUCCCAAACUCAGCACGGAAAUUGUUUGUCUUUCCAAUGUAUACAUAUCACUUCAUUUGCGCAUGAACUGUGCUAAUUUAGAACAGUAUGAAAUAACAUAAGUUGGAUUUUGUAUUAA
Molecule: long non-coding RNA, 719 nt
Organism: Papaver somniferum (opium poppy)
Lineage: Eukaryota; Viridiplantae; Streptophyta; Magnoliopsida; Ranunculales; Papaveraceae
Exons: 3
Source: RefSeq, a predicted model, not a curated record